GGUAAAAAAGCUCGUAGUUGGAUUUCUGUUGAGGAGGGCCGGUCUGGGCUACGCCCAUGUAUCUGGUUCCACCUCGGCAUCCUCUCGAUUUGGAUUCCUGCGCUUAGUUGCGUGGGGUUUGUAUCGGGACUUUUACUUUGAGGAAAUUAGAGUGUUCACGGCAGGCUAUCGCCAGAAUACAUUAGCAUGGAAUAAUACUAUAGGAUCUCGGUUCUAUUUUGUUGGUUUCUAGAAUCGCGAUAAUGAUUAAUAGGGACAAUUGGGGGCAUUCGUAUCAACACGUCAGAGGUGGAAUUCUUGGAUUGUGUUGCGACGAACUACUGCGAAAGCAUUUGCCAAGGAUGUUUUCAUUGAUCAAGAACGAAAGUAAGGGGAUCGAAGACGAUUAGAUACCGUCGUAGUCUUUACCAUAAACUAUGCCAACUAGAGAUGGGGCAUCGUUCACUUACGACUUGCUCCGCACCUUAUGAGAUAUCAAAGUUUUUGGGUUCCGGGGGGAGUAUGGUCGCAAGGCUGAAACUUAAAGGAAUUGACGGAAGGGCACCACCAGGAGUGGAGCCUGCGGCUUAAUUUGACUCAACACGGGGAAACUCACCAGGUCCAGACAUAAUAAGGAUUGACAGAUUGAUAGCUCUUUCUUGAUUUUAUGGGUGGUGGUGCAUGGCCGUUCUUAGUUCGUGGAGUGAUUUGUCUGCUUAAUUGCGUUAA
This 708-nucleotide ribosomal RNA is filed under the name uncultured marine alveolate. Its description in RNAcentral is "SSU rRNA". It matches the Rfam family "Eukaryotic small subunit ribosomal RNA", at positions 617 to 1331 of the family's 1831-position model. The record is from RNAcentral.